AAUAUUCCGCAAUGGACGCAAGUCUGACGGAGCAACGCCGCGUGAGUGAUGAAGGCCUUUGGGUCGUAAAACUCUGUCUUCAGGGAAGAACCCUUAGCAGUUGAAUAAGCUGUUAAGCUGACGGUACCUGAGGAGGAAGCCCCGGCUAACUACGUGCCAGCAGCCGCGGUAAUACGUAGGGGGCGAGCGUUGUCCGGAAUCAUUGGGCGUAAAGCGCGCGUAGGCGGUUAUUUAAGUCAGACGUGAAAAACCUGGGCUUAACCCAGGUCUUGCGUUUGAAACUGGAUAGCUUGAGGGCAGGAGAGGAUAGUGGAAUUCCUAGUGUAGCGGUGAAAUGCGUAGAUAUUAGGAGGAACACCAGUGGCGAAGGCGACUAUCUGGCCUGUACCUGACGCUGAGGUGCGAAAGCUGGGGGAGCGAAC
Molecule: ribosomal RNA, 422 nt
Filed under: uncultured bacterium
Lineage: Bacteria
Description: partial 16S ribosomal RNA
Rfam family: Bacterial small subunit ribosomal RNA
Source: RNAcentral